AUAGAUUUUUUAUAGGUUUGAAUGGAUUUUGGUGCACUUGAAUGGGUUGGAUUUGGGUUUUUGGAUGGUUUGAAUAGGUUUGGAUUUUAUGGUGGACUAGAUUGGUGAUGGGCUUAAAUUUUAUUUGUGGACUAGAUUGGAUUGGACUCGGGUUUUAUUUGUGGACUGGAUUGGAUUGGGCUUGAAUUUUAUUUGCGGACUGAAUUGGAUUGGGUUCGGAUUUUAUUUGUAGACUGGAUUGGAUUAGGCUCAGGUUUUAUUUGUGGACUGGAUUGGAUUGGGUUCGGGUUUUAUUUGUGGACUAGAUUGGAUUGGGCUCGGAUUUAUUUGUGAAAUAUUUUUUAAAAUUUUACUAUAAUUAAUUUUGGGGUCAGAAAAAAUUCUCUUUUUAAUUUUAUUGCAAUUCAAUUUUGGGCUCCGAAGAAAUUCUCUUUUUAGUUUUAUUGCAAUUUGAUUUUGUGGUCUGAAGAAAUUCCUUUUUUAAUUUUAUUGCAAUUCGAUUUUGGGUCCAAAGA
This 515-nucleotide long non-coding RNA is filed under the name Ananas comosus (pineapple). Its description in RNAcentral is "long non-coding RNA (ACOM_LNC026753)". The record is from RNAcentral. Lineage: Eukaryota; Viridiplantae; Streptophyta; Magnoliopsida; Poales; Bromeliaceae.